AAACAAAUUCACCGUCAAAAUCUGCUCAAACCCUUUUUUGCUGUUUAUCUGGGAAUUAGCAGCGGUUGGAUCAUGUCUCUUCACACUACGGAAACAACAAUAAGUUUUACCAAAAAAUAAACAAAAGCAGAGCACAAGUAGUUGAAUCGUGUAAGACAGUACGAGUUCCACGCAAUUAAGAGAUAGCAAUAAAAUUUGAAACAAAAAAGAGCAAGUCAUAUUAACAUAAUACAGC
RNAcentral lists this long non-coding RNA (235 nucleotides) under Nicotiana benthamiana. RNAcentral's name for it is "long non-coding RNA (NBEN_LNC001003)". Lineage: Eukaryota; Viridiplantae; Streptophyta; Magnoliopsida; Solanales; Solanaceae. The record is from RNAcentral.